RNAcentral lists this ribosomal RNA (98 nucleotides) under Schizophyllum amplum. RNAcentral describes it as "Auriculariopsis ampla partial 5.8S ribosomal RNA". It matches the Rfam family "5.8S ribosomal RNA", at positions 64 to 154 of the family's 154-position model. From Rfam's summary of the family: 5.8S ribosomal RNA (5.8S rRNA) is a component of the large subunit of the eukaryotic ribosome. It is transcribed by RNA polymerase I as part of the 45S precursor that also contains 18S and 28S rRNA. Lineage: Eukaryota; Fungi; Basidiomycota; Agaricomycetes; Agaricales; Schizophyllaceae. The record is from RNAcentral.
AAUGUGAAUUGCAGAAUUCAGUGAAUCAUCGAAUCUUUGAACGCACCUUGCGCCCUUUGGUAUUCCGAGGGGCAUGCCUGUUUGAGUGUCAUUAACAA